This 71-nucleotide transfer RNA is filed under the name Lates niloticus (Nile perch). RNAcentral describes it as "tRNA-Ile". The record is from RNAcentral. Lineage: Eukaryota; Metazoa; Chordata; Actinopteri; Centropomidae.
GGAGUUAUGCCCGAAACCCAGGGGCCACUUUGAUAGAGUGAACUAUGGAGGUUAAAGUCCCCCUAACUCCU